UACAGAGGUCCCAAGCGUUGUUCGGAUUCAUUGGGCGUAAAGCGCUCGCAGGUGGUUCGAUGCGUCGUGCGUGAAAGACCCCGGCUCAACUGGGGAGUGUCGUGCGAUACGGUCGGACUGGAGGCCAGUAGGGGGAUGCGGAAUUCCGGGUGUAGUGGUGGAAUGCGUAGAGAUCCGGAGGAACACCAGCGGCGAAGGCGGCAUCCUGGACUGGUCCUGACACUCAUGAGCGAAAGCGUGGGGAGCGAGCCGG
This 253-nucleotide ribosomal RNA is filed under the name uncultured bacterium. RNAcentral's name for it is "partial 16S ribosomal RNA". It matches the Rfam family "Bacterial small subunit ribosomal RNA", at positions 524 to 776 of the family's 1533-position model. The record is from RNAcentral.